This 463-nucleotide ribosomal RNA is filed under the name uncultured bacterium. RNAcentral's name for it is "partial 16S ribosomal RNA". It matches the Rfam family "Bacterial small subunit ribosomal RNA", at positions 339 to 795 of the family's 1533-position model. The record is from RNAcentral.
CUACGGGCGGCAGCAGUGGGGAAUAUUGCACAAUGGGCGCAAGCCUGAUGCAGCCAUGCCGCGUGUAUGAAGAAGGCCUUCGGGUUGUAAAGUACUUUCAGCGGGGAGGAAGGGAGUAAAGUUAAUACCUUUGCUCAUUGACGUUACCCGCAGAAGAAGCACCGGCUAACUCCGUGCCAGCAGCCGCGGUAAUACGGAGGGUGCAAGCGUUAAUCGGAAUUACUGGGCGUAAAGCGCACGCAGGCGGUUUGUUAAGUCAGAUGUGAAAUCCCCGGGCUCAACCUGGGAACUGCAUCUGAUACGGGCAAGCUUGAGUCUCGUAGAGGGGGGUAGAAUUCCAGGUGUAGCGGUGAAAUGCGUAGAGAUCUGGAGGAAUACCGGUGGCGAAGGCGGCCCCCUGGACGAAGACUGACGCUCAGGUGCGAAAGCGUGGGGAGCAAACAGGAUAGAUACUCCCGUAGUC